This 274-nucleotide ribosomal RNA is filed under the name uncultured bacterium. Its description in RNAcentral is "partial 16S ribosomal RNA". It matches the Rfam family "Bacterial small subunit ribosomal RNA", at positions 523 to 796 of the family's 1533-position model. The record is from RNAcentral.
AUACGUAGGGUGCGAGCGUUAAUCGGAAUUACUGGGCGUAAAGCGCGCGUAGGCGGUCCGUUUAGUUAGGCGUGAAAGGCCUGGGCUCAACCCGGGAACUGCGCUUAAAACUGGCGGGCUAGAGUCCGGGAGAGGGUGGCGGAAUUCCCAGUGUAGAGGUGAAAUUCGUAGAUAUUGGGAAGAACACCAGUGGCGAAGGCGGCCACCUGGUCCGGUACUGACGCUGAGGUGCGAAAGCGUGGGGAGCAAACAGGAUUAGAUACCCCAGUAGUCC